Long non-coding RNA from Homo sapiens (human), 530 nucleotides. RefSeq annotates it as GLIS3 antisense RNA 2. Lineage: Eukaryota; Metazoa; Chordata; Mammalia; Primates; Hominidae. The record is from RefSeq and is marked validated. The transcript is spliced from 4 exons.
GUAGAAAACUAUUUGUAAUCCCUAGUUUGCGUCUCUGAGCUUUAACUCCCCCACACUCUCAAGCGCCCGGUUUCUCCUCGUCUCUCGCCUGCGAGCAAAGUUCCUAUGGCAUCCACUUACCAGGCAGGUGGUAUGUUGGAAGAAGAGUGGACUUUGGAAUCAGAAAACCUGGAAUCCCAACUUCACCGCUAACCGAGAGACCUUGAGCUGGUUCCUAAACCACGGGGAACUUCAGUUCCACUACAUGAGUUAUUGCAAAGGAUCUUGCUUUAUCACCCAAACUGUAAUGCAGUGGUGUGAUCAUAGCUCACUACAGCCCCGACCUCCUGGGCUCAAGUGAUCCUCUUGCCUCAGCCUCCUAAGGAGCUGGGACUACAGUUGGCCUAUUUUUUUUUUCUUCACAUGACAUCAGGAGAUCAUCAUUGCAACAAGCAACUCAGCUUAGAAGCGCUGGGAUAACUCCGAAAGAGACAUGUGAGACAAGAUGUAGAACUUUGUAUUAGAGUACAAUAAAAUUUAUAAUGCACAAA